GAUCAUGGCUCAGGAUGAACGCUGGCGGCGUGCUUAACACAUGCAAGUCGAACGAAGCACUUUAAUUGAUUUCUUCGGAAUGAAGUUUUUGUGACUGAGUGGCGGACGGGUGAGUAACGCGUGGGUAACCUGCCUCAUACAGGGGGAUAACAGUUGGAAACGACUGCUAAUACCGCAUAAGCGCACGGGAUUGCAUGAUCCAGUGUGAAAAACUCCGGUGGUAUGAGAUGGACCCGNGU
Molecule: ribosomal RNA, 239 nt
Filed under: uncultured bacterium
Lineage: Bacteria
Description: partial 16S ribosomal RNA
Rfam family: Bacterial small subunit ribosomal RNA
Source: RNAcentral